CAGUAGCCACGGGAAUACGAAGGGGGCUAGCGUUGUUCGGAUUUACUGGGCGUAAAGCGCACGUAGGCGGAUCCUUAAGUCAGGGGUGAAAUCCCGAGGCUCAACCUCGGAACUGCCCUUGAUACUGGGUGUCUUGAGUCCGGGAGAGGUGAGUGGAACUGCGAGUGUAGAGGUGAAAUUCGUAGAUAUUCGCAAGAACACCAGCGGCGAAGGCGGCUCACUGGCCCGGAACUGACGCUGAGGUGCGAAAGCGUGGGGAGCAAACAGGAUUAGAUACCCCCGUAGUCCCUGUCUCUUAUAC
This 301-nucleotide ribosomal RNA is filed under the name uncultured bacterium. RNAcentral's name for it is "partial 16S ribosomal RNA". It matches the Rfam family "Bacterial small subunit ribosomal RNA", at positions 509 to 807 of the family's 1533-position model. The record is from RNAcentral.